CUUACCCUUUCCAUUAUAGUUUUGUUUAGUCUUUCUGCCACUCUGUUUUGUUGGGGUGUGUAGGUCACUGUUUUGUGUCUUGUUAUUCCACUUUGCCUGCAAAAGUUAUUAAACAACUCUCCACAAAACUCCAAACCAUUGUCAGUUCUAAGAUAUCUAACAUUUUUAUCAGUUUGUUUUUAUAUCAUUAGUUUCCAUUCUUUAAGUUUUUCAAAAACUUGAUCUUUAGUUUAUAAGAAACAAAUCCAACUUUUUCUAGAAAAAUCAUCAGUAAAAGAUAGAAAAUACCUUGAGCCACUUAGGCUUGGAGUGGAUGCAGGACCCCAUAGAUCCAAAUGGAUGUAGUCUAGGAUUCCUCUUGUUGUGUGUUGUGCUUUGGUGAAGUUUUGUUUUCUUGUUUUGCCUAGUACACAGUGUUCACAAAAGGACAACUUGCUGCAUAUGUCUUGAGGCAGAAUGCCCUGUUUAGAUAGUGCCUCAAGACCCUUCUGACUAAUGUGGGACAAUCUUUUAUGCCAAAUAUCAACUUCUAUUAGGUUUAGAGAUAAAACUGUAUUUGCCUCCUCUAUCAUUUCUACUCCUUUUAUUAUGAACAAAUCAUUUACCUUUUCCCCAACCAAGACUAACUUAGAUCCCAUAAACACUUGGAAAACUCCACAUUUUCCUUUAUAUUCACACCCUAGAGAGUCUAACAUUCUUAGGGAGAUUAAAUUUCUUUUAAGGUGAGGAACAUGUCUUACAUUUCUAAGGAGUUUUACAGUCUUAUCUUUUAGUUUCAUGGUAACUGAUCCAAUUCCAGCAAUGUUACAUUCAUUAUUAUUCCCUAUGAACACAGAUUCUCCACUGAUCUCUCUAUAGGUAUUGAACCAUGCUCUAAAAGGUGUCAUAUGGUAGGUGCAUCCUGAGUCUACGACCCAAUCAUGUUUUCCUAAGGGGUUGACAUGGUUGGCUUGGUCUAAGGUUGAUGCCAAGGCAUCUGUGUAGGUAAAAGAGCUUUCUACUAUAGAGACUUCUGGUUGUUUCCCUUUAGAAUCUUUUUCUUUUUCUUGAUUCUUUCUUUUAAGGAAAAAACAUUCUUGUAUGAGGUGUCCCUUCUUUUUACCUUAUUUACAUUUCUUUUUCUGUUUUCCUUUCUUGUCUUCAUUAGAAAAGGAUUUGUUACUGUUUUUACUUUGAUUGUUUUGGGAUUUACCUCUGACAAACAAUCCAUCACCACUAUGAUUUUCUUUGUGUGAUGAAUGUAUUUCUAAUUCUCUAGUUCUUAGAGCUGAUAUUAUGACAUCUGUUUUUACUGAGUCUCUUCCAUAUUUUAGAGCAUUUUUUACUUCUUUGUAUGCCUCGGGUAAAGAAUUUAAAAGGACAAUGCCUCAUUUUCAUCACUUAGUUUGUCCUCAAGGGUUUUAAAAUCUGAAACUAUUUUCUUGAAUUCAUCUAAGUUUUCAGAUAAGGUUUUAGAAGGAUCCAUUCUAUAUGUGAAAUUUUUUUCCCUUAGGUACAUUUUGUUUGGGAGAUCUUUAGAGGCAUAUAGGCUUUCUAGUUUCAUCCAAACUUUAUAUGCUGUUUCUUCUUCUAGAACUUGCCUAAUUAUGUUGUCACUAAGGUUUAGUAUUAGUGUUCCAUAGGCAUUUAAUUUCAUUUCUUCUUUUUGUGUUGCUGUGAGGGUUGUUGGAAGUUCUGAAGGAUCUAAAAGGGCUUUAUGAGACUUUUGCUGUCCAAGCAAGGCUUUGAUCUUUGCUUUCCAUAAUGCAAAGUCUCCCUUUCCAUCAAACUUCUCAAUUUCUACUCUUGCUAUAGCCAUUUUCAGGUAUAAUUUUGGUUUAGGCCUCUAUUAGUGCAGGAUGAAAGAAAGCAUGGAGGAGAAGGAGACAUGUAGGUCUAACUUGCAGCCGUACACGCGUGAAGAAGAGAAAUUAUUAUUUUUGCAUGUUGCAAAAAAGGAAAGAAAAGAAAAUUAGGAAAAGAAAGGGGAAAUAGAGAAAUGUAAUUACCUUUCUUUUUUUCUUCUUCUUCCUCUACGUUUUCUCUCUGUUUCAAACCCUAAUGGAAAUUAUUGGUGGCUUUGUUGAGUAGAUUUAUUACAGUAGAAUGAAGAAUAGAGAGUAGAGAAGAGAUGCAACACAGUUUUUUACGUGGUUCGGCAAAUAGAAGCCUACAUCCACGAGGAAUGAUCUCUUUUUCUUAUUGAAGAUGAGUUACAAAAUCA
This is a long non-coding RNA of Cucumis sativus (cucumber), 2203 nucleotides long. RefSeq lists it as uncharacterized. NCBI's taxonomy places the organism in Eukaryota, Viridiplantae, Streptophyta, Magnoliopsida, Cucurbitales, Cucurbitaceae. The record is from RefSeq and is a predicted model, not a curated record. The transcript has 2 exons.